AGAAUCAUAGAAUGGUUUGGGUUGGAAGGGACCUUUAAAGAUCAUCUAAUUCCAACCCCCUUGCCAUGAGCAGGGACACCUCCCACUAGACCAGGUUGCUCAGAGUCCCAUCCAACCUGGCCUUGAAUGUUUCCAGGGAUGGGGCAUCUACUGCCUCUCUGGGCAGCCUGUGCUAGUGUUGAACCACCCUCAUUGUAAAACUUUCUUCCUUAUAUUUAGUCUAAAUCUCCCCUCUUUUAGUUUAAAACUAAAAACACCCCUUUUCCUAUUGAUACAGGCCCUGCUAAAAAGUCUGUCCCUAUCUUGUAAGUUCCCUUUAAGUACUGAAAGGCUGCAGUAAUGUUUCCCCAGACCCUUUUCUCCAGGCUAAAUAACCCAACUCUCAGCCUUUUCUAUAGGCAAGGAGCUCCAGAACUCUGAUGACUUUUGUGGCUCUCCUCUGGACCCAAUCUCCAGUUUGGGCUGUUCUGGAGAUGCCCAGAGGGUCCCCGAGCUCCGGUCCCUCUGGGGUUACUUGCUGAAUCUCCCGUUUGCAGGGUGCUGGCACGGAUGAGAGGACCCUCACCCGCAUCAUGAUUUCCCAGAGUGAGAUUGACCUGCUCAACAUCCAGGGCAAGUUCAUGGACCUGUUCGACAGAUCUCUGUACCGCAUGAUUGAGAAGGACACCUCCAGUGACUGCCACAUGGCUCUGCUGUCCCUGUGCGGAGGGGAGGACUAGGUGGCUGCAGGAGCCCCUUCUUCGUGUCUGAGCCAGCACGCACGCACCCACUGCCUUGAAGUCACUGCAGCUUUGGGGGUUUCAGGGGACACUGGGCUCCCUGCAGAGGAUGAAAGCAGCAGCACAUUGCAAGGGGGGUCUUGGGGAGGGGAGCAGAGGGCUCUGGGUAAGGAGAUGUUCACAAUAAUUCAUACCCAACAUGCCACUAACCCAGGAAUUUACUCAGAUGGAAAAGACAAUUUUAGAUCUCAUAAAUAAAACCUUACUGUUGCUGA
This is a long non-coding RNA of Pezoporus occidentalis (night parrot), 994 nucleotides long. RefSeq lists it as uncharacterized. The transcript is spliced from 2 exons. NCBI's taxonomy places the organism in Eukaryota, Metazoa, Chordata, Aves, Psittaciformes, Psittacidae. The record is from RefSeq and is a predicted model, not a curated record.